RNAcentral lists this ribosomal RNA (565 nucleotides) under uncultured bacterium. Its description in RNAcentral is "bacterial SSU rRNA". It matches the Rfam family "Bacterial small subunit ribosomal RNA", at positions 338 to 916 of the family's 1533-position model. The record is from RNAcentral.
CCUACGGAGGCAGCAGUGGGGAAUAUUGGGCAAUGGAGGAAACUCUGACCCAGCGACGCCGCGUGCGGGAUUAAGGCCUUCGGGUUGUAAACCGCUUUCAGCAGGGAAGAAGCGAAAGUGACGGUACCUGCAGAAGAAGCACCGGCUAACUAUGUGCCAGCAGCCGCGGUAAUACAUAGGGUGCAAGCGUUGUCCGGAAUUAUUGGGCGUAAAGAGCUCGUAGGUGGUUCGUCACGUCGGAUGUGAAAAUCUGGGGCUUAACCCCAGACCUGCAUUCGAUACGGGCGAGCUUGAGUAUGGUAGGGGAGUCUGGAAUUCCUGGUGUAGCGGUGGAAUGCGCAGAUAUCAGGAGGAACACCAAUGGCGAAGGCAGGACUCUGGGCCAUUACUGACACUGAGGAGCGAAAGCGUGGGGAGCGAACAGGAUUAGAUACCCUGGUAGUCCACGCCGUAAACGGUGGGCACUAGUUGUGGGGACCUUCCACGGUCUCUGCGACGCAGCUAACGCAUUAAGUGCCCCGCCUGGGGAGUCGAUCGCAAGNUUAAAACUCAAAUGAAUUGACGG